UACGGAAGGUCCGAGCGUUAUCCGGAUUUAUUGGGUUUAAAGGGAGCGCAGGCGGAAUGUUAAGUCAGCUGUGAAAUCCCGUCGCUCAACGGCGGAACUGCAGUUGAUACUGGCUUUCUUGAGUGCACAUAAGGAUGGUGGAAUUCGUGGUGUAGCGGUGAAAUGCUUAGAUAUCACGAAGAACUCCGAUUGCGAAGGCAGCCAUCUGGGGUGCAACUGACGCUGAGGCUCGAAAGUGCGGGUAU
RNAcentral lists this ribosomal RNA (245 nucleotides) under uncultured Prevotellaceae bacterium. RNAcentral describes it as "partial 16S ribosomal RNA". It matches the Rfam family "Bacterial small subunit ribosomal RNA", at positions 524 to 768 of the family's 1533-position model. The record is from RNAcentral. Lineage: Bacteria; Pseudomonadati; Bacteroidota; Bacteroidia; Bacteroidales; Prevotellaceae.